GUCGAGCGAUCGAUGGGAGCUUGCUCCCUGAGAUUAGCGGCGGACGGGUGAGUAACACGUGGGCAACCUGCCUAUAAGACUGGGAUAACUUCGGGAAACCGGAGCUAAUACCGGAUACGUUCUUCUCUCGCAUGAGAGAAGAUGGAAAGACGGUUUACGCUGUCACUUAUAGAUGGGCCCGCGGCGCAUUAGCUAGUUGGUGAGGUAAUGGCUCACCAAGGCGACGAUGCGUAGCCGACCUGAGAGGGUGAUCGGCCACACAGGGACUGAGACACGGCCCAGACUCCUACGGGAGGCAGCAGUAGGGAAUCUUCCGCAAUGGACGAAAGUCUGACGGAGCAACGCCGCGUGAACGAAGAAGGCCUUCGGGUCGUAAAGUUCUGUUGUUAGGGAAGAACAAGUACCAGAGUAACUGCUGGUACCUUGACGGUACCUAACCAGAAAGCCACGGCUAACUACGUGCCAGCAGCCGCGGUAAUACGUAGGUGGCAAGCGUUGUCCGGAAUUAUUGGGCGUAAAGCGCGCGCAGGUGGUUCCUUAAGUCUGAUGUGAAAGCCCACGGCUCAACCGUGGAGGGUCAUUGGAAACUGGGGAACUUGAGUGCAGAAGAGGAAAGUGGAAUUCCAAGU
Molecule: ribosomal RNA, 629 nt
Filed under: uncultured bacterium
Lineage: Bacteria
Description: bacterial SSU rRNA
Rfam family: Bacterial small subunit ribosomal RNA
Source: RNAcentral